GCCAGUGUGGCGUAGUGGUUUGAAUGUCAGAUUACAACUCUGAAGACCAGGGUUCGAUUCCCCACUCGGCCG
Molecule: non-coding RNA, 72 nt
Organism: Phrynosoma platyrhinos (Desert horned lizard)
Lineage: Eukaryota; Metazoa; Chordata; Lepidosauria; Squamata; Phrynosomatidae
Source: the annotation of a GenBank genome assembly